CGAGAAUCUUCGGCAAUGGGCGCAAGCCUGACCGAGCGACGCCGCGUGGAGGACGAAGGCCUUCGGGUUGUAAACUCCUGUCGAGGGGGAGGAAGGUCUCGCAAGAGACUUGACCGAUCCCUGGAGGAAGCACGGGCUAAGUUCGUGCCAGCAGCCGCGGUAAGACGAACCGUGCGAACGUUAUUCGGAAUCACUGGGCUUAAAGCGCGUGUAGGCGGGUCGGCACGUCCGUGGCUGAAAGCCCCCGGCUCAACCGGGGAAGUGGCGCGGAUACGGCCGAUCUGGAGGGGGGUAGGGGGACCUGGAACUUCCGGUGGAGCGGUGAAAUGCGUUGAGAUCGGAAGGAACGCCCGUGGCGAAAGCGAGGUCCUGGACCCUUUCUGACGCUGAGACGCGAAAGCCAGGGGAGCGAAC
This 414-nucleotide ribosomal RNA is filed under the name uncultured bacterium. RNAcentral describes it as "bacterial SSU rRNA". It matches the Rfam family "Bacterial small subunit ribosomal RNA", at positions 356 to 773 of the family's 1533-position model. The record is from RNAcentral.